RNAcentral lists this ribosomal RNA (254 nucleotides) under uncultured Acidisoma sp. RNAcentral describes it as "partial 16S ribosomal RNA". It matches the Rfam family "Bacterial small subunit ribosomal RNA", at positions 524 to 776 of the family's 1533-position model. The record is from RNAcentral. Lineage: Bacteria; Pseudomonadati; Pseudomonadota; Alphaproteobacteria; Acetobacterales; Acidocellaceae.
UACGAAGGGGGCUAGCGUUGCUCGGAAUGACUGGGCGUAAAGGGCGCGUAGGCGGAUUAUGUAGUCAGGCGUGAAAUUCCCGGGCUUAACCUGGGGGCUGCGUUUGAUACGCAUAGUCUUAGAGUGCGGAAGAGGGUCGUGGAAUUCCCAGUGUAGAGGUGAAAUUCGUAGAUAUUGGGAAGAACACCGGUGGCGAAGGCGGCGACCUGGUCCGCAACUGACGCUGAGGCGCGAAAGCGUGGGGAGCAAACAGG